Rhamnusium bicolor is the source of this 75-nucleotide non-coding RNA. The record is from the annotation of a GenBank genome assembly. NCBI's taxonomy places the organism in Eukaryota, Metazoa, Arthropoda, Insecta, Coleoptera, Cerambycidae.
GGCUUCGUGGUCGAGUGGUAAGGACACCUGACUCUCACCCUGGAAUCCCGGGUUCGAUCCCCGGCCAAGGAGCUA